UCCCACUGUCCCUGUCUACU
Molecule: small nuclear RNA, 20 nt
Filed under: Arabidopsis thaliana (thale cress)
Lineage: Eukaryota; Viridiplantae; Streptophyta; Magnoliopsida; Brassicales; Brassicaceae
Description: snRNA_05922
Source: RNAcentral